Long non-coding RNA from Apodemus sylvaticus (European woodmouse), 1697 nucleotides. RefSeq lists it as uncharacterized. NCBI's taxonomy places the organism in Eukaryota, Metazoa, Chordata, Mammalia, Rodentia, Muridae. The transcript is spliced from 4 exons. The record is from RefSeq and is a predicted model, not a curated record.
CAGGUACAAUCCUUACAGGGAUGGGCCUCUCUUCCAUGACUUGGGUUUAGUCUGAAGCCAAGACAAGUCCUGUAAAGGCUCCAAGUCUUUCUUGAUCUACACAGAUGCAGCAGGCCUUCAGAUGAUCGGUAGGACUACACUGUUCCUUCUUCAGGCCAAUAAAUCACCACAAUCCCCGGGUAAGCCAUGAGAAGCUAGAAAAGGAGUCAUUCUCCAAACCCUGAAGUUUAAAGCAAGACUCAACAGGCUUACCAGAUCUGGAGAGAUGCUUCCAAGGCUGCCUCUGGAUGCUCCGGUGACCCAACCAGGCAUUCUCCCUGCUACAUUCCAGGCUGACAGUGUUCAAGCCACCACAAGCACCAAGAAACAAGAACGUAGUCCCUGGUGUGGUAAGGGCCUCUGUGGACCUGUGGUUUAGGUCUCCUUGGUGCCACCAUCUUUUCCAUAGAGAGCUUCCCAUUUUGAUGGUACCCAUCUUAUAAAGUUACAGAAGGCAUCUCAGAUUCUCAACAACCCUCACCAGAUCCCCACUGAAUAACACAUCGUCUGGCAACAGGAGGCGUUUGAUUACAUUUGGAAGGAAUGCCUGCGUCAACUCCAGUUGUCUCCGAAUUGCAACCGAUGGGCCUCACGUGUGGCGGCCAACAGUUUGCCUUCACCCACUCCCCUCUCCACAAUGAACCCUUUCUCUGGGAAAACAAGAAACCUACGUGCCAUCCCGAGUGAGAGACAAACAGGAGCCUUGUCACACCACAUGCGCUGAGGACUUAGCCACCGCAAGCCGUGCUUCACACAUCUUGAGAGAAAAAAAGUCUCUGACCCAAGAGACCAAAGUGAUCUUGUCCCUGCUUUCUCUUCAGCACAUACGUGUAGGUUCCCAUGUGUUCUUCAUACGAUGCCAUGCUGCUGUCUCCUGUCUGACCCCUCCCCCAUUCUAGCUCAGUCGUGAUCCUGCAGGCAGAAUUAUGUUCCGCACAGAUGUCCUUGUCCUAACUUUGGGGCCCUAUGACAGUGUUAUUUCACAUGGCAAGGGUCAAGUAAUGUUCCAAGUAGAAGUAGGUCUGUGGUAACCGGUUUCAAAUGGGAAUAUAUGUUGGUCAUCUGUGUAACACCAGUGUCAUUACAUUCAUACAUUCAUGAACAGCAACCAGCAGGAUCAAAGCAGAGAGAUGUCAUCCUGAUAAAGAUUCCACCUCCAUUGCUUGCAUAAAGACAGGCAAGAGGACUGUGAACCCAGGGCUGGUGCAGUUCAUACAUUCUGGCAAACAGAUUCUCCAGUACCACUCGGUAGAUUUUUAGCUCUGUGGGAUCCAGGUUUCUGAUGCCCGGAACUGCACAAUAACAGAUGUGUAUGGUUGCAAGGGCAGUAGGAAACCUAUUCCGUGAGUGUGGACCUGGCACCUACGAGGCUGGCACCUCCAUCAGGUGCUUUCCCAGAGCAUGUGCUUCGCAUCGGUCACUAGGGUCCGCCUAAGGAAUGGAGCCGGUUCAUAUGUCCACUCAGAGGUUGCUGCAGGCAGCUCUUGGCUACACAGAUGACUGAAGGGCUGAGAAGCCAGUCCAGGCAUUAGCCAGAACAGUUGCUGCUCCACUAGCACUUGGUUAGGCCAGUGGGAUGAAGAAAGGAGGCCAUGUUAUUGGAGGCCAGAGACCAGAUCUCCUCAUGGAAGGUGGACCACGCCAGGAGACGGAGCCAC